This 492-nucleotide ribosomal RNA is filed under the name uncultured bacterium. RNAcentral's name for it is "partial 16S ribosomal RNA". It matches the Rfam family "Bacterial small subunit ribosomal RNA", at positions 29 to 507 of the family's 1533-position model. The record is from RNAcentral.
AGUGAACGCUGGCGGUAGGCCUAACACAUGCAAGUCGAACGGCAGCACAGUAAGAGCUUGCUCUUACGGGUGGCGAGUGGCGGACGGGUGAGGAAUACAUCGGAAUCUACUUUUUCGUGGGGGAUAACGUAGGGAAACUUACGCUAAUACCGCAUACGACCUACGGGUGAAAGCAGGGGAUCUUCGGACCUUGCGCGAUUGAAUGAGCCGAUGUCGGAUUAGCUAGUUGGCGGGGUAAAGGCCCACCAAGGCGACGAUCCGUAGCUGGUCUGAGAGGAUGAUCAGCCACACUGGAACUGAGACACGGUCCAGACUCCUACGGGAGGCAGCAGUGGGGAAUAUUGGACAAUGGGCGCAAGCCUGAUCCAGCCAUACCGCGUGGGUGAAGAAGGCCUUCGGGUUGUAAAGCCCUAUUGUUGGGAAAGAAAAGCAGCGGGUUAAUACCCCGCUGUUCUGACGGUACCCAAAGAAUAAGCACCGGCUAACUUCGUG